RNAcentral lists this ribosomal RNA (253 nucleotides) under uncultured bacterium. Its description in RNAcentral is "partial 16S ribosomal RNA". It matches the Rfam family "Bacterial small subunit ribosomal RNA", at positions 524 to 776 of the family's 1533-position model. The record is from RNAcentral.
UACGUAGGCAGCAAGCGUUGUUCGGAGUUACUGGGCGUAAAGGGUGCGUAGGCGGUUGUUUAAGUUUGGGGUGAAAUCUCCCGGCUCAACCGGGAGGGUGCGCCGAAUACUGAACGGCUAGAGUGCGGGAGAGGAGAGUGGAAUUCCUGGUGUAGCGGUGAAAUGCGUAGAUAUCAGGAGGAACACCGGUGGUGUAGACGGCUCUCUGGACCGUAACUGACGCUGAGGCACGAAAGCGUGGGUAGCAAACAGG